This is a transfer RNA of Cavia porcellus (domestic guinea pig), 64 nucleotides long. It matches the Rfam family "tRNA". From Rfam's summary of the family: Transfer RNA (tRNA) molecules are approximately 80 nucleotides in length. Their secondary structure includes four short double-helical elements and three loops (D, anti-codon, and T loops). The record is from Rfam. NCBI's taxonomy places the organism in Eukaryota, Metazoa, Chordata, Mammalia, Rodentia, Caviidae.
AAGGAUUUAGCUCAGUGGCAUAAGCACCUGCCUUACAAGCAGGUGUUCGUGAGUUCAAUCCUUG